ACGGGGUGCAGCAGGCGCGAAAACUUUACAAUGCGGGAAACCGCGAUAAGGGGACACCGAGUGCCAGCAUUUAUGUUGGCUGUCCACAUGUGUAAACGGCAUGUGUUAGCAAGGGCCGGGCAAGACCGGUGCCAGCCGCCGCGGUAACACCGGCGGCCCGAGUGGUAAUCACUUUUAUUGGGUCUAAAGGGUCCGUAGCCGGUUUGAUCAGUUCUUCGGGAAAUCUGACAGCUCAACUGUUAGGCUUCCGGGGAAUACUGUCAGACUUGGGACCGGGAGAGGUAAGAGGUACUACAGGGGUAGGAGUGAAAUCUUGUAAUCCCUGUGGGACCACCAGUGGCGAAGGCGUCUUACCAGAACGGGUCCGACGGUGAGGGACGAAAGCUGGGGGCACGAACCGGAUUAGAUACCCGGGUAGUCCCAGCCGUAAACGAUGUUCGCUAGGUGUCAGGGGCGGUGCGACCGCUUCUGGUGCCGUAGGGAAGCCGUGAAGCGAACCACCUGGGAAGUACGGCCGCAAGGCUGAAACUUAAAGGAAUUGGCGGGGGAGCACUACAACGGGUGGAGCCUGCGGUUUAAUUGGACUCAACGCCGGAAAACUCACCGGGGGCGACAGCAAGAUGUAGGUCAAGCUAAAGACUUUACCUGAAUCGCUGAGAGGAGGUGCAUGGCCGUCGUCAGUUCGUACUGUGAAGCAUCCUGUUAAGUCAGGCAACGAGCGAGACCCGUGCC
RNAcentral lists this ribosomal RNA (732 nucleotides) under uncultured archaeon. RNAcentral's name for it is "bacterial SSU rRNA". It matches the Rfam family "Archaeal small subunit ribosomal RNA", at positions 325 to 1058 of the family's 1478-position model. The record is from RNAcentral.